Acanthochromis polyacanthus (spiny chromis) is the source of this 755-nucleotide long non-coding RNA. RefSeq lists it as uncharacterized. The record is from RefSeq and is a predicted model, not a curated record. NCBI's taxonomy places the organism in Eukaryota, Metazoa, Chordata, Actinopteri, Pomacentridae. The transcript has 2 exons.
ACAGUGUAAGAAAGUUGACUUAUAAUUAUUGUUAAAUUCCUGUUAAACUGGGACCACGACUAUAGGGUUUCUCUUUUGUAUUUUAUUUUGAAACUCCACAGCGGACGUUUGCCUCGUGCUAAAUGCGGUGCACUUUAGCGUGCGCUCAGUAGCAAACCGAUCCUAUGCUGUGGUCUGAGCGGGAACAGAUGCCUGAGCAACUUGCUGUUUAUCCCUCACCCUGUGGUUGUGUGUUUGCUGUCCCAUGUUUACAGGUAUGUUUAGUUUGAGCCGGUUGUCAUAUUUAACUGUAUUUACUGUUUAAAAUAACAGUUACUGCACUUUUACAGCAUGUUUGCUGUGGCGUAUUUUCACCACUAGGUGGUACUGUUGGUUCAUUGUUGAUUUCACAAUGCUAAAAUGGGCUCUGGACUGUAAAAAUUGUGCUAUUUGGUCUAAAAACUGGUAUUAUGAUUCAUGAUAUAGGGAAAAUAUUGUUAUUUUGACACUGUUUUAUUUAUUUUGAAUGCAUAGGUAUUUCACUAUGUUAGAAAUAUUUUUUGUUACCAUUCGUGGAUUUUGUAAUGUAAAACCUGCCUUUGCCUGGAAAAAUUAUACCACUAUACGAUCACAUUUGCAGUAGCAAACCGAUCCUAUGCUGUGGUCUGAGCGGGAACAGAUGCCUGAGCAACUUGCUGUUUAUCCCUCACCCUGUGGUUGUGUGUUUGCUGUCCCAUGUUUACAGAGGAAAUAAACCAGACCAAAAGCAUCAUCCA